RNAcentral lists this ribosomal RNA (465 nucleotides) under uncultured bacterium. Its description in RNAcentral is "partial 16S ribosomal RNA". It matches the Rfam family "Bacterial small subunit ribosomal RNA", at positions 28 to 507 of the family's 1533-position model. The record is from RNAcentral.
GACGAACGCUGGCGGCGUGCUUAACACAUGCAAGUCGAACGGAAAGGCCCUGCUUGCAGGGUACUCGAGUGGCGAACGGGUGAGUAACACGUGGGUGAUCUGCCCUGCACUUCGGGAUAAGCCUGGGAAACUGGGUCUAAUACCGGAUAGGAGCCAUUUUUAGUGUGAUGGUUGGAAAGUUUUUUCGGUGUAGGAUGAGCUCGCGGCCUAUCAGCUUGUUGGUGGGGUAAUGGCCUACCAAGGCGGCGACGGGUAGCCGGCCUGAGAGGGUGGACGGCCACAUUGGGACUGAGAGACGGCCCAGACACCUACGGGAGGCAGCAGGGGGGAAUAUUGCACAAUGGGCGCAAGCCUGAUGCAGCGACGCCGCGUGGGGGAUGACGGCCUUCGGGUUGUAAACUCCUUUCGCUAGGGACGAAGCUUUUUGUGACGGUACCUAGAGAAGAAGCACCGGCUAACUACGUG